RNAcentral lists this ribosomal RNA (978 nucleotides) under Ignavibacteriota bacterium. Its description in RNAcentral is "Ignavibacteriae bacterium partial 23S ribosomal RNA". It matches the Rfam family "Bacterial large subunit ribosomal RNA", at positions 1952 to 2925 of the family's 2925-position model. Lineage: Bacteria; Pseudomonadati; Ignavibacteriota. The record is from RNAcentral.
UAAGGUAGCGAAAUUCCUUGUCGGGUAAGUUCCGACCUGCACGAAUGGUGUAACGAUUUGGUCACUGUCUCAACCACGGGCUCGGUGAAAUUGUGGUACCGGUGAAGACGCCGGUUACCCGCACAUGGACGGAAAGACCCCGUGCACCUUUACUGCACCCUAGCAUUGGGUUCGGUCAAAACAUGUGUAGCAUAGGUGGGAGACUGCGAAGCCGGGGCGCUAGCUUCGGUGGAGUCGUCAGUGAAAUACCACCCUUGUUCUGAUUGAAUUCUAACCUUUCGCCAUGAAUCUGGCGAGGGAACAGUGUUAGGCGGGUAGUUUGACUGGGGCGGUCGCCUCCUAAAUUGUAACGGAGGCUCUCAAUGGUUCCCUCAGCAUGGUCGGUAAUCAUGCGGCGAGUGUAAAGACAUAAGGGAGCUUAACUGCGAGACCUACAAGUCGAGCAGAUGCGAAAGCAGGACUUAGUGAUCCGUUGGCUUCGAGUGGAAGAGCCAACGCUCAAAGGAUAAAAGGUACGCCGGGGAUAACAGGCUGAUCUUGCCCAAGAGUUCAUAUCGACGGCAAGGUUUGGCACCUCGAUGUCGGUUCAUCGCAUCCUGGGGCUGGAGAAGGUCCCAAGGGUUUGGCUGUUCGCCAAUUAAAGCGGUACGUGAACUGGGUUCAGAACGUCGUGAGACAGUUCGGUCCCUAUCCUGUGCGGGCGUAGGAAACUUGAUGGGUGUCGCUCCUAGUACGAGAGGACCAGAGUGAACGGACCGACGGUGAAUGAGUUGUCACGCCAGUGGCAUUGCUCAGUAGCCAUGUCCGGAUGGGAUAAGCACUGAAAGCAUCUAAGUGCGAAACCCGCCCAAAGAUGAGGUUUCCCUCCCGAUUUAUCGGGAUAAGACCCCAAGGAGAUUACUUGGUUGAUAGGCCGUAGAUAGAAGCAUAGUAAUAUGUUCAGUCGAGCGGUACUAAUAGGUCGAUAGGCUUAAUCUU